CCGAGAGGUUGGGAAGUACUGAGCUGGGUACUAUCCUGCAUCGGGAGUUUGGCCAUUCUUAGACACAGGCAGUAGGGAACGUAAGGCCAUAGGCUGCUGUCUGGAGAUUUCGAUCAGACAAACCUUAGGAAGUGGGUUGCGAUCCACUGGCGUUCUGCUCUUUCUCAAAAGCUAUUUAUAAUAUUUUGUUAUAUUACUAUGGAGGCUUAUAUUAUUGAUCUUGUAAGCUUAUAUUAAGUUUAUUAUUCAUGAUUUACCUUAUUUAACCAUGUUAAAUUGUCAGCUGUGUUAUGAUUGUUACUUGGUUCAGUUUGACUUUUUUUUUUUGUUGAUUGAGACUUAUUUAUUAAUGCUUGAUAACUCCUAUGUGGAUCCUAAUUGAGCUGGGAGAGCUGUUAGUUACUCCCCACUGAUUGUGGAUAUUUGUUGUAUAUCUUUGCAGGUUAUGUUGAUGACAAUCUUAUUUGGUUUUGGGCUCGGGUUGAGAUGUGAGCAUUAAAAUGUUAGAUGUUUUAGGCCUACUCUUUUAUUAAUUUAAGAGUUAGUUUUCUCUUUUGGUUAUCAAUUUAAUUUAUUUAUACUAUUUAUUUAUGUUGGUUUUAUCACUUAGAUUUUUUUUAAACGCAUUUCUUGUAGUAGUGAUAUUCCCAGAAGACGAUGUUUCCGCCAUCGUCCUAUACUUCUAUUAUUAUUAUUUCUUUCU
Long non-coding RNA from Beta vulgaris subsp. vulgaris (sugar beet), 703 nucleotides. RefSeq lists it as uncharacterized. NCBI's taxonomy places the organism in Eukaryota, Viridiplantae, Streptophyta, Magnoliopsida, Caryophyllales, Amaranthaceae. The transcript has 2 exons. The record is from RefSeq and is a predicted model, not a curated record.